GACAGGAACUCCCUUUUCUUUCUUAAAGAAAAAAAAAAAAAUCCUCUGUGGUUGGGACACAUGUCCCUACUAUCUCAAGAUAAUUCUUACUCAAGAAAACGAAGAAGAUCCCUCUGUAACAUUCUGCUUGCAAUUCAACUACCCUGGGCCGCAAAUGAAAUGGGAUAAUCACUGUGAUCCCUCUCAGUGAAACACCCCUCUGCUUGUUUUGUUCAAAUAACACUGUGGUUUUCUUUAACUUCCCUUUUCUAAGGGUGUCAAAAACAAAUGGUUUCUUGGGUUCUUACUUCCCAAAUUCUGUUGCUUGCAGAAAGUAAUGCCCACCUGAAAGGUGGUCCCGACCAAUCCCAGGCUGGGCUGCGCUGCCUACGGUCGAGGCCACUGCCCAGGCUGUGUGUGUACCGUGCCAGGAGGAGCAGCCCAGAGACGUCCUGGGAGAUGUGACGUGCCUUUCCCUGACCUCAAGAGAACUGUCAUUUGUCAGCUCCCAGGGCAAGCUCAGUGCCAGAUCCCUGUGGGUCUGUGCUGCUCUCUUUCCCUCUCGGCUGACGCCUCUCUCGUCCUCUUGGGAGCUGCUGAAACCCUUUGGUCACGCGGUUGGCUGAGCAGACUGCACCUGGUUAUCCUACCUUCCCGGCUGGCUGCAGGUGGAAAGUGGCCUGCUGUCCUCGCACCCUCCUGCCUGCCUCAGGGUCUGGUCCCAAGAAGGCCCUGAUACAGGCUGGAAAGCACCUCUGCUGACUGCUUUCGGUACUCAGUGGAACUAGACACCCCGGAAAGGUGGUUAAUUAUUGGACAGCCACUCAGUAUUUCAUUCUAACAAACGCUGCGCUCUAAGACCAGCAUGGGAGACCAGAGAGGAAAGCUGGAUGCAGUACCACCCGCUAACACAUUUUUAAGUGACAACACGUGGCCUUUUGAGAGAACAGCCCUCCAACCACACUUCAGGCUUAAAUGCCGCCUGGGCACCUGCUGGGUAUCGGGUUCUCUGUCAGGCGGGAAAUGAGUUGGUACCAGUCCUCGUGGAGUCACCGUCCACCAGGGAAACAGACGACAUGGGUGUCUCAUUCCAAUGGGAUCAACACUCAGCUCACUGCAGGUCCAUAUCCUCGGAGCAGAAGCACGAAGGGAAGGCAUGGUUUCCAUAAAGAUGAAUGAUUCCCUGUUGAAAACCCUGCGACCAGUCCUACAGCACAGAUGCGGAAGCCCUGCUCUGCCGAGGGCCGCCGGGGGGCUGUCCGGCUUCUUCCCAACGUGGUGCCCCUGCCGUCUGCUCACCCUCCACUCCAACUUCAACCACCUGCGCGCCCCCAAAUCCGCUGCACUUUCCACCAGGCCCCGUCUUUCCAAAUGCCACUGUCCCCAACCCUCCCAGCACUGGCAACCCUUCAACAGCCCCAGAAGACUUGUCUAUAGCUGACGAGAGCUGCCCUGCCCUGUGCCUGGCUCCCCACACUGGGCUCCAUGCCACAUGAGGGCAGGAAAUGGAGCCUCGCUUAUCUCUGUAUUUCAAGAACCUAGCCCAGGGGCUGGGCCGGGCAGAGGGACCGCUGAUACCUGCUGGCUGACUCAAAGAAAGGACGGCGUUGCCGUCUGGGCUCAUCUUCCCUUUAAGUCCCAGCACUGGUUUAGUCGGUCUUGGUGAACGCCCUUGUCCGAUUUCACCUGUGCGCCCCAUUCAGCUUAAACCAAAGGGUCACUUUCUAAGCUCAAGAGAGACAAACUUGUAAGUUCUUUUCCCUUUUGAUUAAAAAAAUUUGAGGCCAAUA
This is a long non-coding RNA of Phacochoerus africanus (Common warthog), 1769 nucleotides long. RefSeq lists it as uncharacterized. Lineage: Eukaryota; Metazoa; Chordata; Mammalia; Artiodactyla; Suidae. The record is from RefSeq and is a predicted model, not a curated record. The transcript has 2 exons.